This 253-nucleotide ribosomal RNA is filed under the name uncultured bacterium. RNAcentral describes it as "partial 16S ribosomal RNA". It matches the Rfam family "Bacterial small subunit ribosomal RNA", at positions 524 to 776 of the family's 1533-position model. The record is from RNAcentral.
GACAGAGGCCUCGAGCGUUAGGCGGAAUCACUGGGCUUAAAGCGUGUGUAGGCGGGCCCGUAAGUGUCUUGUGAAAUCCCACGGCUCAACCGUGGAACUGCUGGGCAUACUGCGGGUCUUGGGCCAACUAGGGGCAGCCGGAACAAGCGGUGGAGCGGUGAAAUGCGUAGAUAUCGCUUGGAACGCCGAAGGUGAAAACAGGCUGCUGGGGUUGCGCCGACGCUGAGACACGAAAGCGUGGGGAGCAAACAGG